AAACCAUGAUAUGGAAACUUACAAGCAUUAACUUGAAGCACUCCCAUGCUUCAUACGAUGACUCUUCUAGUUGCUGAAAAUUGGUAAUCUCUAUCUGUAACU
This 102-nucleotide small nucleolar RNA is filed under the name Gossypium hirsutum (cotton). Its description in RNAcentral is "Plant small nucleolar RNA R71". It matches the Rfam family "Plant small nucleolar RNA R71". From Rfam's summary of the family: R71 is a member of the C/D box family of snoRNAs containing the C (UGAUGA) and D (CUGA) box motifs. Multiple nearly identical copies of this snoRNA have been identified in Arabidopsis, and it is thought to function as a 2'-O-ribose methylation guide for 18S ribosomal RNA. Lineage: Eukaryota; Viridiplantae; Streptophyta; Magnoliopsida; Malvales; Malvaceae. The record is from Rfam by way of RNAcentral.